AGAGUUUGAUUUUGGCUCAGAAUUAACGCUGGCGGCAUGGUUAAGAUAUGUAAGUUGAAUGGACUAUUUUGAAGAGUAAUCGGAUUUAUAGUUAGUGGUGAAAGGGUGAGGACAUGAUAGGUAACGUAUUUUGGGUUUUGGAAUAGCUCAUCGAAAGGUGGGGCAAUGUCGAAUGAUGUCAUCUGUUUAAUACAGGUGACUAAAGAUUUAUCGGCCCUUGAGCGGCCUAUUUCCUAUCAGUUUGUUGGUGAGGUAAUGGCUCACCAAGGCGAUGAUGGGUAGCGGGACUGAGAGGUUGACCCGCCACAUCGGAACUGAGAUACUGUUUGGACCUCUACGGAGGGCUGCAGUAACGAAUAUUGGGCAAUGGGCGAAAGCCUGACCCAGCAAUGCCGCGUGUAGGAUGAAGUUUUUCGGAGUGUAAAUUAUUUUCAGGGAUUAGAAAGUUAUGGUUGAUUAAUCCUAGAAGAAGUCACGGCUAACUUCGUGUUAGUAGUUGUGGUAAUACGAAGGUGGCAAGCGUUAUUCGAAAUCACUGGGCUUAAAGGGCGCGUAGGCGGAUAUGUAAGUGUUAGGUGAAAUUCCUUGGUUUAACCGAGGAAUUGUUUAGUAAACUACAUGUCUUGAGGCAAGUAGGGGUGUGUGGAACUCUUGGUGGAGCGGUGGAAUGUGUAGAUAUCAAGAGGAACGUUGAAGGUGAAGAUAGCACAUUGGACUUGUAUUGAUGCUGAGGCGCGAAAGCGUGGGGAGUGAACAGGAUUAGAUAUCCUGGUAGUCCACGCUGUAAACGAUGUAUACUAGGUCGCGGAGGUUUUGAUACCGUUGCGGUCGUAGCAAAAGUGUUAAGUAUACCGCCUGGGGAGUACGGUCGCAAGGCUAAAACUUAAAGGAAUUGACGGGGGCUCACACAAGCGGUGGAGCAUGUGGAUUAGUUUGAAACAAUGUGUAGAACUUUACCUGGGUUUGAUAUGUAUGGAUGCCUAUUUGGAAAUAGAGUUGGCUGCCUUUGGGUGAAACUUACAUAGGUGUUGUAUGGCUGUUGUCAGCUCGUGUUGUGAGAUGUUGGGUUGAGUCUUUUAACGAGCGAAACCCUUACCGUUAGUUGCCAGUGUGUUAUGGCGGGGAUUUUAGCGGGACUGCCGGUGUUAAACCGGAGGAAGGCGGGGAUGACGUCAAGUCUUUAUGGCCUUUAUGCCCAGGGUUUUACACGUGCUAUAAUGGCAGGUAUAAAGCGAUGCGAUACCGUGAGGUGGAGCAAGUCGCAAGAAACCUGCCCCAGUUCAGAUUGCAGGUUGAUAAUUCGCCUGCAUGAAGGUGGAAUCGCUAGUAAUCGCGUAUUAGUGAUGACGCGGUGAACGUGUUCCUGAGCCUUGUAUACACCGCCCGUCAAAUCACGGGAGUUGGGAGUACCCGAAGUCGGAUUGUUAGUUUGUAAAAGAGGUGUUUGCCGAUGGUAAGUCCGAUGACUGGGAUUAAGUUGAAAUAAGGUA
RNAcentral lists this ribosomal RNA (1490 nucleotides) under metagenome. RNAcentral describes it as "bacterial SSU rRNA". It matches the Rfam family "Bacterial small subunit ribosomal RNA". The record is from RNAcentral.